Molecule: long non-coding RNA, 1069 nt
Organism: Amblyraja radiata (thorny skate)
Lineage: Eukaryota; Metazoa; Chordata; Chondrichthyes; Rajiformes; Rajidae
Exons: 3
Source: RefSeq, a predicted model, not a curated record
AUAUUUUGUGUUGCUGAACUUUGCAACUUUUCUGUGUAGUGGAAGCCGGCAACACUGGAGGACACAACUGAACGAAUGAUGAGUACUGCAGCUGUUGUCUUGCGCCAGAGGCCACUUAAGAGAUUGCCUUGUCAGUUUCCAAACAAAUCUCUUCAGUGGAGACACAAGAUGCUUGACACCAACCAGCUUUCAGUUUGAAUAUAGAUAUGCACUUUAAAACUCAUAUAGAUGUCGCUGAACUUGCUGGGUUCUUCAAGCCAUUUGUUGUUUGCUCCAGAUUGCACAUUUGCAGUCAGUUGCGCCUUUUGGGUUGUUACAAAGUUCUGGAAACGUCAUGGAGCUGGUUAGAAGUUUCGCUGGGUUUUGGAAUAAGCAGUCAGCUUCCAGAGUGAUAGAAAUGUAGCAGACAGCAGAACUUACAAGUGACUCUGUGAAUGAUCUCUUCAAUAACACAAAUGUAGAGCAAGCACAUUUAUGGAAAUGUUUCCAGCACUUUGCUUUCAUUUCAGAUUUCCAUUUCUCACAUAUUCUGUACUGAUAAAGUUGUUUGACCGGGAACGUUAACUGUUUAUCCUUCCAGAGUGGUUAAACACAGUUACUUUAUGAGUUGCCAAUGACUCUGGAAAAUCAUUGCUGAAUUUAAUCCUGUAAAACUGAAAAUUGGCAAAAGAGGAACUCAUCACAUGUUGCAAUAUGCAAGUCAAGCAGCAUCUUUCAUGAGAAGUGAUGAAAGAUCAUUAACCUGAAAUGUUUCUUUGUGUUUUGUUCUUCACAGGUGCUGGGUAUCUCCAGCAUUUUCUUUUUUUUUUAUGCCAUUUGGUUCGUGUUUAGCACCAAGCAUAAGUCACUUCAGAAAUUGCUUGGUCAGAUUGUUUUGUAAUGAGAUCAAAUGAUCUGGAAAUAGUCAUCCUUGCAUUUCAAUUUGGGGAAGAUCAAUUUACAUUCACAUAGCACUGAAUUAAAGUAACUGACUUUCCUGGCCAUAUUUUUUUUUAAGGCAUCAGUUUCCAGGCUUCAGUAGGUUUAGUAGUUGUGAGGAAUUUAACCAAUAAAUAAAUUUGGAACAAUA